AGAAUUUACCCCUGACGCGGCGGCGGCCGACGGGAAGCUGUGUGUGCUUAGGUCGUGGUGGCCCCGGUGGUGGUGGGCUCCGGGCGGGCUCGCGUCAUCCUGCCCCCGCUGCGAUGCAUCCGCGGCGCCCGGACGGAUUUGAUGGCUUGGGCUACCGGGGUGGUGCCCGGGACGAGCAGGGCUUUGGCGGCGCCUUCCCUGCAAGGUCCUUCAGCACCGGGUCGGACCUGGGCCACUGGGUGACGACUCCCCCAGAUAUCCCCGGCAGCCGCAACCUGCACUGGGGCGAGAAGAGCCCGCCCUACGGCGUGCCCACCACCUCCACCCCGUACGAAGGCCCCACGGAGGAACCCUUUUCCAGUGGCGGCGGCGGCAGUGUGCAGGGGCAGAGCAGUGAACAGCUGAAUAGAUUUGCUGGAUUUGGUAUUGGACUUGCAAGUCUCUUUACAGAAAAUGUAUUGGCACAUCCUUGCAUUGUUCUACGCCGCCAAUGUCAGGUUAAUUACCAUGCUCAGCAUUACCAUCUCACUCCAUUUACAGUCAUCAAUAUUAUGUACAGUUUCAACAAAACUCAGGGACCUAGAGCCCUGUGGAAAGGAAUGGGAAGUACAUUUAUUGUCCAGGGAGUCACACUUGGAGCAGAAGGCAUAAUUAGUGAAUUUACACCUUUGCCAAGGGAGGUUUUACAUAAAUGGAGUCCUAAACAAAUAGGAGAACACCUUCUACUGAAAUCAUUGUGAAUUGGAAAUCCCCCAGCUUGCUGGCUCCCUCAGUGGGACAUUCCAGCACAUUAUUACUUAGUGAUGUUCCAUUCACCUUGAAAACCACUACUUGCCAGGACCUGGCCCAUAAGGGUUAGCCUAACUUACGUGGUGGCAAUGCCUUUUUAUUCAGCAAGUCUGAUUGAAACAGUGCAGAGUGAGAUAAUUCGAGAUAAUACUGGCAUUUUGGAGUGUGUUAAAGAAGGAAUUGGAAGAGUGAUAGGCAUGGGAGUGCCUCAUAGCAAACGACUUCUUCCGCUUCUUUCCUUGAUCUUCCCUACGGUGCUUCAUGGAGUUCUUCAUUACAUCAUCAGCUCAGUUAUUCAGAAGUUUGUCCUACUAAUUCUAAAGAGAAAGACUUACAAUAGCCACCUAGCUGAGAGCACUAGCCCUGUGCAGAGUAUGUUGGAUGCUUAUUUUCCAGAACUUAUUGCUAACUUUGCUGCCAGUCUUUGUUCUGACGUUAUACUUUACCCAUUGGAAACAGUUUUGCACCGCCUUCACAUUCAAGGAACACGCACAAUAAUUGACAAUACAGACCUUGGCUAUGAAGUGCUUCCAAUUAAUACACAAUAUGAGGGAAUGAGAGACUGUAUCAAUACCAUAAGGCAGGAGGAAGGAGUGUUUGGUUUUUAUAAAGGGUUUGGUGCUGUUAUAAUACAGUACACACUGCAUGCAGCUGUUUUACAGAUUACCAAAAUUAUUUACUCUACACUUCUUCAAAAUAACAUUUGAGAUUUAGGUUCCUUCACUGAGUAGUCUGGAAGAUAUAAUCUGGAUAAUUUGCUAUGAAGUUAUGAGGGAUACAAGUGAAAUACUGGGGAAGAAAAUGGAUUGGAAAGUAAAAUUGGUACUAAAGCCCAUACUGAUUAUCUUGACUUUGUUUUUUAAGGCAUAGGUAUAUAUUUUGGAUCAAAAUCCUUCCAAAUUUGAAAACUCAAUAAAAAUAACACUUAUUAAAUUCUAGUUAGUGUAGCACUCAUGCUGAAGUAAACAUGAUCGUAGGCAGAAGCAAAAUUUUAUUAUAAAAUCUAAAACAAAACUUUAUAGAGUUGAAUCUAUUCCAUCUGACUUCAAUAUUUGCCAAACGUUUAUUUUACCUCCUAGAUUGAUGUUGGUAUAGUAUCCUUAAUACAGUGUAGUAUAUUAAUGUCCUUAAUACAAUCAGGAGGUUUUUACCUUUAAGCAAAUAAAUUAUGUCAUUAUUGAAAAAGACUUAAGGGAUGAUUAGACUUGGCAAUCUGUAAGCAGGAGUAUAAAUGUUUUAAAUUGCAUUGUCCCUAUGUAACUAUCUUAAUGGCUAUAUAUAUGUAUUUUAUAAAGCCAUUUAUGUAUACACAUGUAACUUGGAAUUUCCUUCAUCCCUACACAUUUUCUACACUUACAUCACCUUAUUGCAUAAAACAAAGUCACGCGCUUUCUGCUUGAACAUCAAAAUAUCAAAAACCAAGGUACCCAAAAGAUACAAGUCAGAGACAACAUCCUUGUCCAUAUCCAAACCCAGUGUUUCAGUGCUAGCAACUUAAUUUCUCAUACAUUUAUAGAGUUUGGUUUGCUUUGCUAGUUGUGUGAAUCAUUGGGCUGUUUUUAGAGCCACUGUUAAGAGAGAAUAUAAAAUAAUCAUGACAAUUACUACUGUUUCCACAUUUACAAAUUGUGUACUUAAAUGAACCUCAUUUCCCUUUUAUUUCUGAAUGGCUUGUCUGAGAGGAAACAAAAUUAAAAUUCAUCUGGGAAUUUGUGCCUCUUGUCUAGUAUAUAGUCACCACUAAAUAAUGGCUUCCGUUUUUAUUUUCUUUCAGGUUUUGCUUUAAAUUUUGUUUUCCAAAAUAGAUGUACGUGGAGGGAAAAGCAAUUAUUCUUAUCACCUUUUAUUUAAACUUCUUUAGAUGAAUACUGAAGAAAAAUCCAAACCUUAAAGGAAAUGUGCCCUUGUAUUUUAUGGGUGAGGGGAAAAAGUACAUUUGUACAUUUCAACAUAUAAUAAGCAAAAAAAUUACUAAUCAGUUUAAUAAAAACAUUUUGUCUAUUCCUAAAUGUAAUUUGGUGGGUUAAGCACUUUGUGUAGUAAAAUGAUAUGUGUCUGCUCUAUCAUUAGACAUUUUAAAGUUUCAUGUCUUCACGUGAAUAAUCACAGUUGUAUCAUGAACCAUUUAGCGCUCUGAAGCACAGUGACUUUGCACUGAUAUUGUCCAACCAAGAAUGCAUACGAAUAGAAAUUCAUUUUACUUGCUAAAUGUCACAGAAAUGGUUACUUUUUGCAAAUAGUAGUGUUGGAACAAAAAAGUGAUAUCCAAAAAGUGUAAAAACAGUAAUAAGUAGCAAAUCUCUCGUGUGUGUGUGUGUGUAGUUACUGAAACACCUACAUUUUCCAUUUUUAAAUUCCACCAAAAGGGGGAAAAUAAAAUUAAACACCACUGAUCACAUUUUAUAUUUUAUGGUGACUAUUUUAGAUUAAGGUUUACUUUGUCCAACCAAUAGCAUUUAAAUUGUUUUCAAUUAGGAUAGUUUCAGAUAAGAGUAAACCAGAAAAUUUCAAGUUUGAAAAAUUUCUAGAAAAGAAUCUGAAUAGAAUCAAGUAUUUACUAGUGAAAAUCUGUAGGAUCCUUUGUUUAGCUAAAAAUUAAAUAUUUCAGGAUAUUUUUUGGAAGUUAGCAUGAAAAUAGUUAGUUACAUAAAUUCAUUUUAUUGUAGAAUAAUUAUAAGACUGAUAGGCUGAACCAUACACAAAUAAGGUUGAUCUUGUUUUCCUUUUUGGAGAAAGAGAAUACAAAUUAACAUUAAAAUUGAAAUGUAGAAAGUAAAAUAUGAAUAAUUUUUUACAACCACUCCAAAUUAGUUGAAACAAAAUCUUGAACGGUCACGCACUUAAAUUUAAGCUAGCCAAAUAUGUUGCACUGAAUUUUGAAAAGAAUGAGUGAGAUAACUGUAAGAUACGCUCGUUCCCUUUUAAAAAUUGUUAUUUUUCUUUAACAUGGGUGCCAAAUCAAAUAUCCAUGGGCUAUACUUCUUAAGAUAAUAACAGCUCAAAAUAAUAUUUUUUAAUUCAGUAGAACUAAUAGCAUUAUGGAAAAGAUUCUAUUAAAUGUUCCACAGGCCCACUGGUCCUCUUAUAUAAGCCAAAUUUUGGCCAUGGAGCUUGUGAUACACUUGCCUUACAUUGUAGGGUUUCUUAAUUUGAGUCAAGUACACUGAAAGCAAUUAAAAACUGGUAAAUAUUAAUUUACUAUGUAAAGUGAACUUACGAAUUAACUUACUAAAUACAUAUAUGUAGACCUUCCCGAAAUGCCAUUCUCAAUUUUAUUUUAUGGGCUCCAAAAAAAAUUAUCUGGGUUAAUAAGGUUAUCUAUUAAAGCCCCCAGAAUCUCAGCACUAGAUGUCAUAAAUAUGAAAUAGUAAAAACAAGGUCACUUGAAAAUGGGUAUUUAAUACCUUAGCUGGUGUUUUCAGAAGCAUACAGAACUGGAAAGGUAAGAACUUGCUUACUAUUGCAGAUAUACCUGACCACUCACAACUGUCUUUUUAGCAGCAGCUUUGUUAAAACUGCACAAAGCAUUCACUUUAUUGAUUGAGUACAAAUGCUUUAGUGUUUCUACCUAAGUAUUAGUACAUCUGUUCAGGAAAUGGAAAAAAAAAAUGCUGCUUAAAUUUGUUUUAUCAGCUGAGGUUGUGGAGGAUUUUUGUCCACUGAUCUUUUGCAACAGAAAAGCAUACUUUGUCAGCUUCUAAUAAGAUAGCCAGGUUUGAAUUAUUUGCAAAAUUUAUAUAAGCAAAUAAGAUCUCUUGGUAACAAUUGACAUUGCACUAGAAUUUGAAUGAUACUGUUGUUGGCAUUUCUGUUUCUCUUUCAAGUAGUUGUAAAUAAUCUCUUUUUCUCAUAUAAACGGAAUGCAUAAUGUCUUACUCUUGAGUCAUUUAGUAUCAUUGAUAUGGUACCAAGUUGUAUAGCAGAGUAACAAAAUCAUGAUUUGACAAUGAAAUUUACAUAUUGCCUCACCUAGAGAUGUUUUGUCUGUAUGACUUUUUUUUUUUUAAGUUUGUCUUACUGUUACUUUAAAUGUUUUGGGUAAAUUGUGUAAUAUGAAAAGUUCAAUAAAAUGUCGAAAUAAA
This is an RNA transcript of Homo sapiens (human), 4871 nucleotides long. It is a transcript of the gene named solute carrier family 25 member 46, with no coding region annotated. The record is from RefSeq and is marked reviewed. NCBI's taxonomy places the organism in Eukaryota, Metazoa, Chordata, Mammalia, Primates, Hominidae. The transcript has 9 exons.